UACAGAGGGUGCGAGCGUUAAUCGGAAUUACUGGGCGUAAAGCGUGCGUAGACGGUAGCGUAAGUCAGAUGUGAAAGCCCCGGGCUCAACCUGGGAAUUGCAUUUGAGACUGCUCUGCUCGGGUGCGGAAGAGGGAAGCGGAAUUUCCGGUGUAGCGGUGAAAUGCGUAGAUAUUGGGAGGAACACCAGUGGCGAAGGCGGCUUUCUGGACGGUGUCUGACGCUGAGGCGCGAAAGCCAGGGGAGCAAACGGG
This 253-nucleotide ribosomal RNA is filed under the name uncultured bacterium. RNAcentral describes it as "partial 16S ribosomal RNA". It matches the Rfam family "Bacterial small subunit ribosomal RNA", at positions 524 to 776 of the family's 1533-position model. The record is from RNAcentral.